This 253-nucleotide ribosomal RNA is filed under the name uncultured bacterium. RNAcentral's name for it is "partial 16S ribosomal RNA". It matches the Rfam family "Bacterial small subunit ribosomal RNA", at positions 524 to 776 of the family's 1533-position model. The record is from RNAcentral.
UACGUAGGUGGCAAGCGUUGUCCGGAUUUACUGGGCGUAAAGAGCGCGCAGGCGGUCGUUUAAGUCGAAUGUGAAAGCCCCCGGCUCAACUGGGGAGGGUCAUUCGAUACUGAUCGACUUGAAGGCAGGAGAGAGAAGUGGAAUUCCCGGUGUAGUGGUGAAAUGCGUAGAUAUCGGGAGGAACACCAGUGGCGAAGGCGACUUCUUGGCCUGUUCUUGACGCUGAGGCGCGAAAGCGUGGGGAGCGAACAGG